Molecule: ribosomal RNA, 255 nt
Filed under: uncultured bacterium
Lineage: Bacteria
Description: partial 16S ribosomal RNA
Rfam family: Bacterial small subunit ribosomal RNA
Source: RNAcentral
UACGGAGGGAGCUAGCGUUGUUCGGAAUUACUGGGCGUAAAGCGCACGUAGGCGGCUUUGUAAGUUAGAGGUGAAAGCCCGGAGCUCAACUCCGGAAUUGCCUUUAAGACUGCAUCGCUUGAAUCCGGGAGAGGUGAGUGGAAUUCCGAGUGUAGAGGUGAAAUUCGUAGAUAUUCGGAAGAACACCAGUGGCGAAGGCGGCUCACUGGACCGGGUAUUGACGCUGAGGUGCGAAAGCGUGGGGGAGCAAACAGG